This 505-nucleotide ribosomal RNA is filed under the name uncultured bacterium. RNAcentral describes it as "partial 16S ribosomal RNA". It matches the Rfam family "Bacterial small subunit ribosomal RNA", at positions 28 to 507 of the family's 1533-position model. The record is from RNAcentral.
GACGAACGCUGGCGGCGUGCCUAAUACAUGCAAGUAGAACGCACAGUUUAUACCGUAUCUUGCUACACCAUAUAGUGUGAGAUGCGAACGUGUGAGGAACUCGUAGUGAACCUGCCUGGGAGCCGGGGGUAGCUAUUGGAAACGAUAACUAAUACCGCAUAAUAUUAAUUAUUGCGGAAAAAUUAAUUGAAAGGUCCAAUUGCACGACUACAAUAUGGACGUGCGUUGUAUUAGCUAGUAGGGGAGGUAACGGCUCACCUAGGCGACGAUACAUAGCCGACCUGAGAGGGUGAUCGGCCACAAUGGGACUGAGACACGGCCCAGACUCCUACGGGAGGCAGCAGUAGGGAAUCUUCGGCAAUGGACGAAAGUCUGACCGAGCAACGCCGCGUGAGUGAAGAAGGUUUUCGGAUCGUAAAGCUCUGUUGUACGGGAAGAAAGGGUGUGAGAGGAGAAAGUUCACAGUGUGACGGUAUCUUAACAGAAAGCGACGGCUAACUACGUG